RNAcentral lists this transfer-messenger RNA (362 nucleotides) under Ignavigranum ruoffiae. RNAcentral describes it as "Standard tmRNA". It matches the Rfam family "transfer-messenger RNA". Rfam says of the family: Bacterial tmRNA, also known as 10Sa RNA or SsrA, is named for its dual tRNA and mRNA-like properties. Its role is to liberate the mRNA from a stalled ribosome. Lineage: Bacteria; Bacillati; Bacillota; Bacilli; Lactobacillales; Aerococcaceae. The record is from Rfam by way of RNAcentral.
GGGGAUGUCAUGGUUUCGACAGGUAUUUUCGAGCUUAUGAUGCGUCAGGAAGGUUACGUCUUCCUAAAAACGUUACAGUUAAAUAUAACUGCAAAAACAACAAACAACAAUUUUGCUUUAGCAGCCUAAAAACUGCGGGCAAAGAUCGGCCUAGCAUCGCCCAUGUGUUAGUUCCCGGUCUCAAAUUCAGUGGGAUACGUUCUAUGAAUCCGUCUGCUUCAUAGAAAAGAGACGACCAGACUCGCUACAAGUGAUGCGUGUUUAUCAGCUAGCUUGAUGCUAAAGUAAAGAAUAAACUAUUGGCGUAGAGUUGUAAGUGGCGGAAUAUUUGGACAGGAGUUCGACUCUCCUCAUCUCCAUUU